Molecule: non-coding RNA, 31 nt
Filed under: Mus musculus (house mouse)
Lineage: Eukaryota; Metazoa; Chordata; Mammalia; Rodentia; Muridae
Source: RNAcentral
UAUAAAGGUGUCUCAGCAAAGGAGCUUCUCC